GAUGAACGCUAGCGGCAGGCCUAAUACAUGCAAGCCAAGGGCUGUUUGGUGUAGCAAUACAUCAAACAACCGGCGGACGGGUGCGUAACGCGUAUGCAACCUACCCUAUACAGGAGGAUAGCCCUCGGAAACGAGGAUUAAUACUCCAUAAGAUUGCUUUGAUGCAUCUUUAAGCAAUUAAAGCCGCAACGCGGUGUAGGAUAGGCGGGCGUGCGAUUAUCUAGUUGGUGAGGUUACGGCUCACCAAGGAGAUGAUCGGUAGGGGUUCUGAGGGGAAGAGCCCCCAGACGGGGACUGGGAAACGGGCGCGACACCUACGGGAGGCAGCAGUAAGGAAGAUAGGAGAAGGGGAGAAAGCCUGAUCCAGCCAUGCCGGGUGCAGGAAGAAGGCGCUCUGGGUGGUAAACUGCUUUUGAGAGGGAGAAAUAAGCGCGAUGCGUCGCUCGAUGAUGGUACUUCUCGAAUAAGCAUCGGCUAACUUCGUG
RNAcentral lists this ribosomal RNA (485 nucleotides) under uncultured bacterium. Its description in RNAcentral is "partial 16S ribosomal RNA". It matches the Rfam family "Bacterial small subunit ribosomal RNA", at positions 28 to 507 of the family's 1533-position model. The record is from RNAcentral.